CAGUCGCCGCGGUAAUACGUAGGUGGCAAGCGUUGUCCGGAAUUAUUUGGCGUAAAGGGCUCGCAGGCGGUUUCUUAAGUCUGAUGUGAAAGCCCCCGGCUCAACCGGGGAGGGUCAUUGGAAACUGGGAAACUUGAGUGCAGAAGAGGAGAGUGGAAUUCCACGUGUAGCGGUGAAAUGCGUAGAGAUGUGGAGGAACACCAGUGGCGAAGGCGACUCUCUGGUCUGUAACUGACGCUGAGGAGCGAAAGCGUGGGGAGCGAACAGGAUUAGAUACCCGCGUAGUCCCUGUCUCUUAUAC
Molecule: ribosomal RNA, 301 nt
Filed under: uncultured bacterium
Lineage: Bacteria
Description: partial 16S ribosomal RNA
Rfam family: Bacterial small subunit ribosomal RNA
Source: RNAcentral